Lipotes vexillifer (Yangtze River dolphin) is the source of this 1583-nucleotide non-coding RNA. Lineage: Eukaryota; Metazoa; Chordata; Mammalia; Artiodactyla; Lipotidae. The record is from RefSeq and is a predicted model, not a curated record.
GCCCGGAAGCCACAAAGUCCCCUCUGUCAUCUCUCCUAGUCCUACUCCAGCCGUCCCAGCCGCUGUCCAACUCCCCGGCCGGGGUUUGUGCAGCGGCUUGCACACCCCUCGGCCAGUGUACGCGCUUUGCACCUGCCUGCCCGAAAACAUGUUGCAGAAACCAGAGAGCGGGGGUCUCCCUAUCCCUCAGGGGGAGGGGGAGGGGGAGAUGGAUGGUGGCCACGACAGUGAGACCCAGGCCCUGACCGCCUCGCAGGAGGUGGCCCCGAGCCCCCUCCUGCAAGAGAGCCCCGAGGAGGACCUUGGCGCUGUAAGGGAGGAGGGGGCUGCGGAGCCCUCCAUCACCCUGAAAGGUGCGAGGGCUUUGGCAGCCAAAACCUUGGCCCGGCGCAGGGUUGCCUCCGUCUGGAUCAGACGGUGGCCGAGUUGGUGCAGUUUCUGCUGGUGAAGGACAGGAAGAAGAGUCCUAUCCCCCUCUCCGAGAUGGUGAAAUACAUUAUCAGAGACCUAAGGGAUCUGUUCCCUGAGAUCAUCGCAAGGGCCGCAGAGCAUCUGCGGUAUGUCUUUGGUUUCAAGCUGAAACAGCUUGACCGCAAGCACCACACUUAUAUCCUGAUCAACAAACUAAAACCUCUUGAGGAGGAGGAGGAGGAGAUGGCCCCAGACUGGGUCUUUUAAUGAUGAUGUUGGGCUUUAUCUACAUGAAAGAUAAUAGCACCAGGGAGGCACAGGUCUGGGAGAUGCUGCGUUGGUUGGAGGUGCGUCCCUCAAAGUAUCACUCCCUCUUUGGGUGCCCGAGGAGGCUUAUUAUGGAAGAUUUCGUGCAGCUGAGAUACCUCAAUUACCGGCUUGUUUCUCACACCAAUCCACCGGCAUGUGAAUUCUCUUGGGGUCCCCGAAGCGACCUGGAAACCAGCAAGAUGAAAGUCCUGGGGUUCGUGGCCAAGCUCCAUAAGAAAGAACCCCAACACUGGCCGAUGCAGUACCGUGAGGCCCUGGCAGACGAGGCUGACAGGGGCAGUGUGAGGGCUAGGGCCAGGGCUAAUGCUAAUGCUGGGGCCGGCAUCCACCCCUGGUGAGGGCCAGCCAGAGGUGGGGCGGGGGGAAGUUGGGUAUAAAAGCUACUGUCUGAGUCAUAAGUAGACUAGAUGGGGAGAAGGUCGUUAUUUCUGAAGCAAUUGUAUUUGUGUAACUAGGAUUUAGGUCUUGUAUCUUGCUAAGUUUUGUUACGUUUAAUACUUAAAUUGAUGUUUAUAAAUGAGAUUGGUCUACUUUUUCCUGUAGGAUUUUGUUGUAGAGUUUUGCUGCUUUUGUAAAAUUAAUUGAAAAACUUUACAUUUUAUUCUGUGAUCUUGAACAAAUUAUGGAGCACUGAGUGCUGUACUUAAAUGGUUUGAAGGAACUCACCAGUAUGAUGAUCUGGUACCAGGGAAAAAUAUAGCUGAUUGGUAUCUAGCUUUCCAACAGUUUUUGUCUACUGUGCAAAGAAAAAAGACUGACAUUUAACUCUGUUUGCUUAGUUAUGGUAGUAGCUGGGGGGGAAAUGCAAUAACCUGGUACACUUAAUAAACAUUUGUUAAGCA